RNAcentral lists this unclassified non-coding RNA (328 nucleotides) under soil metagenome. RNAcentral's name for it is "partial contains 5.8S ribosomal RNA, internal transcribed spacer 2, and large subunit ribosomal RNA". The stretch from base 1 to 120 matches the Rfam family "5.8S ribosomal RNA", at positions 35 to 154 of the family's 154-position model. The record is from RNAcentral.
GAUGAAGAACGUAGCGAAAUGCGAUAAGUAGUGUGAAUUGCAGAAUUCAGUGAAUCAUCGAAUCUUUGAACGCACAUUGCGCCCCUUGGUAUCCCGAGGGGCAUGCCUGUUCGAGCGUCAUUUCACCACUCAAGCCUGGCUUGGUGUUGGGCGACGUCCCCUUUGGGGACGCGCCUCGAAACGCUCGGCGGCGUGGCACCGGCUUUAAGCGUAGCAGAAUCUUUCGCUUUGGAAGUCGGGGCCCCGUCUGCCGGAAGACCUACUCGCAAGGUUGACCUCGGAUCAGGUAGGGAUACCCGCUGAACUUAAGCAUAUCAAUAAGCGAGGA